Molecule: ribosomal RNA, 494 nt
Filed under: uncultured bacterium
Lineage: Bacteria
Description: partial 16S ribosomal RNA
Rfam family: Bacterial small subunit ribosomal RNA
Source: RNAcentral
GACGAACGCUGGCGGCGUGCCUAAUACAUGCAAGUAGAACGCUGAAGGAGGAGCUUGCUUCUCUGGAUGAGUUGCGAACGGGUGAGUAACGCGUAGGUAACCUGCCUGGUAGCGGGGGAUAACUAUUGGAAACGAUAGCUAAUACCGCAUAAUAGUAGAUGUUGCAUGACAUUUGCUUAAAAGGUGCAAUUGCAUCACUACCAGAUGGACCUGCGUUGUAUUAGCUAGUUGGUGGGGUAACGGCUCACCAAGGCGACGAUACAUAGCCGACCUGAGAGGGUGAUCGGCCACACUGGGACUGAGACACGGCCCAGACUCCUACGGGAGGCAGCAGUAGGGAAUCUUCGGCAAUGGACGGAAGUCUGACCGAGCAACGCCGCGUGAGUGAAGAAGGUUUUCGGAUCGUAAAGCUCUGUUGUAAGAGAAGAACGAGUGUGAGAGUGGAAAGAUCACACUGUGACGGUAUCUUACCAGAAAGGGACGGCUAACUACGU